AACCAACUGAGCUACAAGCUUCUUCGUUUCUCUUUCUUCAGAUGAUGAUCCCAAGCCUUCUGGCGAUCUAGACAAAACAAGUCCACCGUGGGCUUUGAAAAACGCUUUCCUUGAUAAAAUUUAAGCGUUUUAUAAGAGGAUGCCCGGGAAGGUUUUCCGGUUUAUCCCGGAGGGCUUGUAGCUCAGUUGG
Molecule: unclassified non-coding RNA, 190 nt
Filed under: uncultured Bartonella sp.
Lineage: Bacteria; Pseudomonadati; Pseudomonadota; Alphaproteobacteria; Hyphomicrobiales; Bartonellaceae
Description: partial 16S-23S ribosomal RNA intergenic spacer
Source: RNAcentral